This 305-nucleotide ribosomal RNA is filed under the name uncultured bacterium. Its description in RNAcentral is "bacterial SSU rRNA". It matches the Rfam family "Bacterial small subunit ribosomal RNA", at positions 334 to 636 of the family's 1533-position model. The record is from RNAcentral.
CACGUCCUACGGGAGGCAGCAGUGAGGAAUAUUGGUCAAUGGCCGGAAGGCUGAACCAGCCAAGCCGCGUGAAGGACGAAGGUGCCAAGCAUUGUAAACUUCUUUUGUCAAGGGACAAAAUCAGGCUCGAGAGCCUGACCGAGGGUACUUGAAGAAAAAGCAUCGGCUAACUCCGUGCCAGCAGCCGCGGUAAUACGGAGGAUGCGAGCGUUAUCCGGAUUUAUUGGGUUUAAAGGGUGCGUAGGCGGGCUGUUAAGUCGGCGGUAAAAGCCCGGGGCUCAACCCCGGCCCGCCGUUGAAACUGG